RNAcentral lists this ribosomal RNA (429 nucleotides) under Verrucomicrobiota bacterium. RNAcentral describes it as "Verrucomicrobia bacterium partial 16S ribosomal RNA". It matches the Rfam family "Bacterial small subunit ribosomal RNA", at positions 355 to 776 of the family's 1533-position model. The record is from RNAcentral. Lineage: Bacteria; Pseudomonadati; Verrucomicrobiota.
UAGGGAAUCUUCGGCAAUGGGGGGAACCCUGACCGAGCAACGCCGCGUGAGUGAAGAAGGUUUUCGGAUCGUAAAGCUCUGUUGUUAAGGAAGAACGAGUGUGAGAAUGGAAAGUUCAUGCUGUGACGGUACUUAACCAGAAAGGGACGGCUAACUACGUGCCAGCAGCCGCGGUAAUACGUAGGUCCCGAGCGUUGUCCGGAUUUAUUGGGCGUAAAGCGAGCGCAGGCGGUUAGAAAAGUCUGAAGUGAAAAUGCAGGGCUCAACUCUGUAUUGCGUUGGAAACUGUAUAACUAGAGUACGGGAGAGGUAAGCGGAACUACAAGUGUAGAGAUGAAAUUCGUAGAUAUUUGUAGGAAUGCCGAUGGGGAAGCCAGCUUACUGGACAGAUACUGACGCUGAAGCGCGAAAGCGUGGGUAGCAAACAGG